RNAcentral lists this small RNA (170 nucleotides) under Pan troglodytes (chimpanzee). RNAcentral's name for it is "processed transcript". RNAcentral also lists the same sequence under 1 other name. The record is from RNAcentral. Lineage: Eukaryota; Metazoa; Chordata; Mammalia; Primates; Hominidae.
UUGUGUUCUAGGCUUUGGUCGAUGGACCUUGCACUCAAGUGAGGAGACAGGCCAUGCCUUUCAAGUGCAUGCAGCUCACUGAUUUCAUCCUCAAGUUUCCGCACAGUGCCCGCCAGAAGUAUGUCCGACAAGCCUGGCAGAAGGCAGACAUCAAUACAAAAUGGGCAGCC